Paramisgurnus dabryanus is the source of this 895-nucleotide non-coding RNA. The record is from RefSeq and is a predicted model, not a curated record. Lineage: Eukaryota; Metazoa; Chordata; Actinopteri; Cypriniformes; Cobitidae.
AGAGGCGGCGCCAGGGAGGAGCUAGGUGGUGCUGUAGCUCCCCCUAUAAUAUCCAUAGCACCCGCCCAGCACCCCCAAGAAAUGUCUGUAAUAUUUUAUAUGUUUAUAUUUUAAUGUCAUGUUUGAAUAGUCUUUUUCAUGUUGUUAAAAAAGGAAUUAAAUAAUAAUUUAAAAAUAUAAAUUUUAGUGUAAAAUAACAAGGCCCAAACAGGUGAUCUUCUUUGGCCAAUGGGCGCAGCGCCUGGUGAACCUUUGACCUUAACGCACAGCAGUUUGUUUUUGAUAGCAAAUUUGGAAAUUUAGCAAAGACCCUUAAUUGCGACAACAUCAUUGAUGCCUUCGCACUCAAUCAAAAGUUGUGAAGACGUCUAUGAUGAUGAAGAUGAUCAGCAUGAUGUCAGUGUGUGAUGUGAGGAGAGAGAUGAGAGAGGAGCUAUAAGACACUGAGGAGGAUGAAGAGGGAGGAGCUUCACCAAACAUCAUCAUCAUCAUAAUUCAACAUCAGAAGUUUCUGUCCUGAAGAAAAUCUUCACACAUCACUGAAUCUGAUUGAAGUGAAAGAUCUCAUAUAUCUCAAACUGAAGACACGCUUGAUCUGAGAAACUCACAGGUGAGAAGAGUGAAGAAAGUGAAGAAUAUUCUGAUCAUCUUGUGAUUUGUUUUGUGUAAAGAUGAGCAGAUGAUGUUGAAUAAUGCUGAAAUGAUCAGACAGAGAAACUUUAAGAGACUCAAGAGAUCUGGAGGGAGGAGCUAAAAACACAAAACACUAUAAGACCCACACACAUCAUCACAAUGUACUGUAGACACAUGAGAUUCAAGAUGUGAUGAAGAUUUGAGUUAAACAAGAUCCUUUAUAUGAAAUGUUCAAUAAGAGUAUUAACACAAUUAGUAAAUC